Austrofundulus limnaeus is the source of this 1003-nucleotide long non-coding RNA. RefSeq lists it as uncharacterized. Lineage: Eukaryota; Metazoa; Chordata; Actinopteri; Cyprinodontiformes; Rivulidae. The record is from RefSeq and is a predicted model, not a curated record. The transcript has 2 exons.
CUGCCCAUGAAGAAGGGGUCUUCAAUCACCUGCCUGUGGUCGUACACGAUCACCUGCAGACAGAAGACUCACCGUUCUGAGCCAGGAAACUGGCCCACAGAGUCCAGACCAUCCAUCCUCCACAAGAACCCAUCUCUGACCAAGAGUCGGACUCUGGACUGAAGCUCCGGAUGUGAAAAAAUGUUCUGAGUGAUGAGACUGUCCCCUCCUCCUCUGUCCCCUCCUCCACUGCCCCCUUCUCCUCUGUCCCCUCCUGCUCUGUCCCCUCCUCCACUGUCCCCUCUGAGUGACAGGACUGUUCCAGCCUCCUGUCCCAACAGUGUCUCUGAGCGCCCUGACAGUCUUGUCUCUCAGAGACCCUGAGGGGACACAGUAACAGAGGACAGUCUCUGUGACUCAUCAGCUGAGUUUGURUCUCUGAUUAGCGCUUCUUGUAAAUCUCAGCUGGACCCUGAAGAGCCUCGGACGUGGACCAGGUUCUGGAGUGGUGGCGGUGCACAGAUCUGYGGACCCCUGCAGCGAGGCGUGUGGCCAUGAGAAGCCCCUCCCCUCCCGACCUGUGGGCUGAACACACGCAGCSGUUUGAUGGAUUCACAGGAACAGUCUGUGAGUCAGAGGAGCUGCUGGGAUCAGARCCACUGAGCUCACAGUGGUUCUGCCACCAGUCCAAAACCAAAGCCAGUCCUCCGGUCAUGAGGCACAGUUAGGAUGGAAUCAGUGCCAGCAGUUAGAACUGGUUAUUUAAAGAGGCGGCGCUCAGUUUUGAGCUCCAGCAGGAAGUGAAGAUUCUGCAGUAGAAUGUGACCUUUUCAUGUUGACCUUUCUGUCUAAGUUCCAGGUGCUGACAGCAGCUGGUUCGUGUCCAUGUCUCUUUGUUUGGACUCUUCUCACCCAUCUUUCAUCACAGCAUUACCAUGGUGAUUUCAGAGAYAUGAUGUCUGAGUUCCUGCCUGUUUUUGUCCUACAGACAUCUACAAUAAAAGCAACAGAUCAUCUUUCUUUA